This 492-nucleotide ribosomal RNA is filed under the name uncultured bacterium. RNAcentral's name for it is "partial 16S ribosomal RNA". It matches the Rfam family "Bacterial small subunit ribosomal RNA", at positions 29 to 507 of the family's 1533-position model. The record is from RNAcentral.
AGUGAACGCUGGCGGUAGGCCUAACACAUGCAAGUCGAACGGCAACACAGUAAGAGCUUGCUCUUACGGGUGGCGAGUGGCGGACGGGUGAGGAAUACAUCGGAAUCUACUUUUUCGUGGGGGGUAACGUAUGGAAACUUACGCUAAUACCGCAUACGACAUACGGGUGAAAGCAGGGGAUCUUCGGACCUUGCGCGUUUGAAUGAGCCGAUGUCGGAUUAGCUAGUUGGCGGGGUAAAGGCCCACCAAGGCGACGAUCCGUAGCUGGUCUGAGAGGAUGAUCAGCCACACUGGAACUGAGACACGGUCCAGACUCCUACGGGAGGCAGCAGUGGGGAAUAUUGGACAAUGGGCGCAAGCCUGAUCCAGCCAUACCGCGUGGGUGAAGAAGGCCUUCGGGUUGUAAAGCCCUUUUGUUGGGAAAGAAAAGCAGCAGGUUAAUACCCCGCUGUUCUGACGGUACCCAAAGAAUAAGCACCGGCUAACUUCGUG